This 495-nucleotide ribosomal RNA is filed under the name uncultured bacterium. Its description in RNAcentral is "bacterial SSU rRNA". It matches the Rfam family "Bacterial small subunit ribosomal RNA", at positions 29 to 512 of the family's 1533-position model. The record is from RNAcentral.
AACAAACGCUGGCGGCGUGUCUUAAGCAUGCAGGUUGAGCGGCAAGGAGGAGAGAUCCUCCCUAGAGCGGCGGACUGGUGAGUAACGCGUGGGUAAUCUAUCGUAGGCAUGGGGAUAGUCACUAGAAAUAGUGGGUAAUACCGAAUACGUUCCAUGAGGGGAGUAUUCAUGGAAGAAAGGGCGCUACGGCACUGGCCUUAGGUGAGCUCGCGUCCCAUUAGCUAGUUGGUGAGGUAAAGGCCCACCAAGGCGAUGAUGGGUAGCCGGCCUGAGAGGGUGUACGGCCACACUGGGACUGAGAUACGGCCCAGACUCCUACGGGAGGCAGCAGCUAAGAAUAUUCCGCAAUGGACGAAAGUCUGACGGAGCGACGCCGCGUGGAUGAAGAAGGCCGAAAGGUUGUAAAGUUCUUUUGCUAGGGGAGAAUAAGUGAGGGAGGGAAUGCCCUCAUGAUGACAAGGACUAGCGAAUAAGCCCCGGCAACUACGUGCCAGC